Molecule: ribosomal RNA, 840 nt
Filed under: uncultured marine group I thaumarchaeote
Lineage: Archaea; Thermoproteati; Nitrososphaerota
Description: SSU rRNA
Rfam family: Archaeal small subunit ribosomal RNA
Source: RNAcentral
UCCCGCCGGACCUGACUGCUAUCGGAUUGAUACUAAGCCAUGCGAGUCUUUGUAGUAAUACAAGGCAGACGGCUCAGUAACACGUAGUCAACCUACCCUAUGGACAAGAAUAAUCUCGGGAAACUGGGCAUAAUUCUUGAUAGAUCAUAAUGCCUGGAAUGGUUUAUGGUUAAAAUGAUUCGUCGCCAUAGGAUGGGACUGCGGCCUAUCAGCUUGUUGGUGAGGUAAUGGCCCACCAAGGCGAUUACAGGUACGGGCUCUGAGAGGAGAGGCCCGGAGAUGGGUACUGAGACACGGACCCAGGCCCUAUGGGGCGCAGCAGGCGAGAAAACUUUGCAAUGUGCGAAAGCACGACAAGGUUAAUCCGAGUGAUUUCUGCUAAAGAAAUCUUUUGCCAGUCAUAAAACCACUGGUGAAUAAGGGGUGGGCAAGUUCUGGUGUCAGCCGCCGCGGUAAAACCAGCACCUCAAGUGGUCAGGAUGAUUAUUGGGCCUAAAGCAUCCGUAGCCGGCUUUGUUAGUUUUCGGUUAAAUCCAUGUGCUCAACGCAUGGGCUGCCGAAAAUACUGCAUAGCUAGGGAGUGGGAGAGGUAGACGGUACUCAGUAGGAAGGGGUAAAAUCCUUUGAUCUAUUGAUGACCACCUGUGGCGAAGGCGGUCUACCAGAACACGUUCGACGGUGAGGGAUGAAAGCUGGGGGAGCAAACCGGAUUAGAUACCCGGGUAGUCCCAGCCGUAAACGAUGCAGACUCGAUGAUGCAUUGGCAUAAUAGCCAAUGCAGUGUCGCAGGGAAGCCGUUAAGUCUGCCGCCUGGGAAGUACGUACGCAAGUAUGAAACUU